Molecule: ribosomal RNA, 450 nt
Filed under: uncultured bacterium
Lineage: Bacteria
Description: partial 16S ribosomal RNA
Rfam family: Bacterial small subunit ribosomal RNA
Source: RNAcentral
GUGGGGAAUCUUCCGCAAUGGACGAAAGUCUGACGGAGCAACGCCGCGUGAGUGAUGAAGGUCUUCGGAUUGUAAAGCUCUGUUAAUCGGGACGAAAGAGCCUAGUGUGAAUAAUGCUAGGAAGUGACGGUACCGGAAUAGAAAGCCACGGCUAACUACGUGCCAGCAGCCGCGGUAAUACGUAGGUGGCAAGCGUUGUCCGGAAUUAUUGGGCGUAAAGCGCGCGCAGGCGGAUCUGCCAGUCUGUCUUAAAAGUUCGGGGCUUAACCCCGUGAUGGGAUAGAAACUACAGAUCUAGAGUAUCGGAGAGGAAAGUGGAAUUCCUAGUGUAGCGGUGAAAUGCGUAGAUAUUAGGAAGAACACCAGUGGCGAAGGCGACUUUCUGGACGAAAACUGACGCUGAGGCGCGAAAGCCAGGGGAGCGAACGGGAUUAGAAACCCGAGUAGUCC